UACGGAGGGUGCAAGCGUUGUCCGGAUUUACUGGGUGUAAAGGGCGUGUAGGCGGAGAGAUAUGUCGAGAGUGAAAUCGUGCGGCUUAACCGUAUCAAUUGCUUUCGAAACUGUCUCCCUUGAGUGAUAGAGGGGCAGAUGGAAUUCCUGGUGUAGCGGUGGAAUGCGUAGAUAUCAGGAAGAACACCGGUGGCGAAGGCGAUCUGCUGGCUAUAUACUGACGCUGAGGCGCGAAAGUGCGGGGAGCAAACAGG
This 254-nucleotide ribosomal RNA is filed under the name uncultured bacterium. RNAcentral's name for it is "partial 16S ribosomal RNA". It matches the Rfam family "Bacterial small subunit ribosomal RNA", at positions 524 to 776 of the family's 1533-position model. The record is from RNAcentral.